GGGAAGGUGGCUCAGUGGUAGAGCACUUGCCUUGCAUGCAUGAGGCCCUGGGUUCAAUUCCUCAGCACCCCA
Non-coding RNA from Dipodomys ordii (Ord's kangaroo rat), 72 nucleotides. The record is from Rfam. NCBI's taxonomy places the organism in Eukaryota, Metazoa, Chordata, Mammalia, Rodentia, Heteromyidae.